UUCUUUCCAUGUUGUUUUCAUGUUUCUUCUUAUACAAAUCUUAGUAAUAUCAUGACAUCAUUAUGACUAUUUGAUAGGUCAAAAUUACUGUUUCAGGCUCUGUAUGUUGGUGUUAAACAAAACUAACACUUUGUCUCCUUUACUAACAAUUAAAAAAAAUUGGUGUAAAAUGCUUAACUAAGGCGGGAAUCUAUCUUUAUCUGUAAUCAAAUUAAGUGCUAAUGACUAUUAUUUCGUGACUUGGAAAAACUGUUUUUCUCUAUAUAGAAAUAGAAUAACAAUUUAGUCCUUGAGGUACUCCUUGAAAAGAAGGUUUUGCCGGCAUAUUGACAAAUUCUUUCUGGAGUCCCCCCAAAAAAAAAAAAUUAAUAAAUAAAUUAUAAAUUAAUCAAGGAUCAAUUGUUCCAUUUACAUUUUUAUCUCUAACAAAUUCUAAUUCAGAGCAGUGGAUAUAGUCAUAAUUACAAUGGGUCAAACCAUUAACAUUUCCUUAAUUUUGAAUAUCUCAACAGAUUUGAUUGAUCUUAUGGCAUUUAUGAAUGAAGAAUGUGUUUUAAAGCCAAUUAUUUUAGUUGAUUGAACAUAAUCUGUGAAGGUUUGCUCCGAGUUUGCAUCAUUCAAAGUAGAGACAAUUAAAAAAACUCAAAUGACUGGAACAGAAAUUAUUCAGCCUGCUUAUGCUGUUGAUACUCUCUAUGUUCAAGUUGUUUUGAUUUUUGAAACAAUUAAAUAUUAAAUAGCAUGAGUUCUUACUUCAAAGAGGCUGUUUUCCCUGCUAGUUGUUGUGGCCUUUCUAAUGAAUUCUUAUUUUUCUUGAUGAGGGCGAGGCGUAAGGAAUUCCCAUCUUGAUGCUAACAUUUCAUCAGACAACAUAAAAUGGCAAUUUUUCAAGUGCAUUUUAUCACUCCUACUCAGAACAAGAACAGCCACAGAAAAUUUGAAAAGCUUUGUUCUGAUGACAGUACAAUCUGAGUUGUUGGACUGUCUAGCUGAACUUAUGGAAGACUAGAGAUAUCUCAAUGGUGUGAUACUCGUAACAAAAAGAUUGAAGAUGUGAUUCGUAAAAUAAACAGUUAAACUAUCAUAUUAGUUUACGAAUAGGGUCUUCUAUUGUUUUUAUUGUUUUUGUAUUUGUUAGAAUUUAGCUAUGGAAGGUGGCAAAUGACAAUCUGCAGUUUUGACAGAUAAAUUACUUGUGCAUGUCAAGCUGACGUUAAUGACUGUUUCUUGUGCAGGGACGGACUUCUUCAGGUUACAAUGCCCAAACUACUAGAUUAUAGGGGGCUGAGGAAGGCACAGAUAUAGGUCAAAUUCUUGUACGUAAAAAAAGCAGUGUCUAUUCUAUCUCUUAAUUUAUUCUACUCUUGCACACUUUCGGUUGGUGGUAGAGUAUAAAAGUUACUAUCAUAGAGUUUUUAUCUCAUUAUAUCUUCCAUUAAUUACAUUUUUAGCAAUUUUAAUUAUUUUGGAAGUCAAUAUGAAUCUACAUGAACCUCUUUCAGUUACUAGCUUGGAAAAAAAAUCGAAUUAGUACUAGUUUUAGUUAUGGAGCAUAGCUUUUGAGAUUCGAGUUGGACUUAGCAAAGAAUACGCCUUCGAAAAAUGCAGGACAAGAGUAAAUAGAAAGAUCAAUAGGUUGAUUGAUGUUGAAACACAAAUCGAUAUUGAGAUUAACAGAAAUGAAGUUACUAUCACACGCGUGCCAGCGCCCACAUAAUCAUGCACAGAGAGGUGUACAAAUAACAUGAACACACAGAUGAGGUACAUGUAUAGAAGACAACCAUGGCAGAAAUUAAGACGUAAAGUCUGUUCCUUCGAACUUUUCUUUGGGAUUCAACUUACGUGCUCCACCAUUUCUGCAUUGAGGUGUUUUUCCAAUCUACGACAUUGCCUUUUUCUGAAAAACACAUGAUUUUAGAUGGAAAUAGCAGAAGAAAAUCUUUGUUUACCAGUCUUGGUCGCUACUAAGUUGCUGAAGUUCUCAAAACUGCAAAGUGUUACUGUUUCUUAAAAAUCCCAUCUCUCUUCCUCCAUGGAAAAGGGUUGACCUAAAUGUUUCACCAUUUUCUACAUGCAACCCUAUGAAUUUUUCUUCAGAUCCUCAUAAGUUAGUGUCGGUACCUUUAGAUGAGACUCCAUGCCUGCAUUAGUGCAUUCCAAACUCUUAGCAUGAUCCCAGUCCAUGCUGAUACACCCCUUCACAGGACAUGCUAAAACUUUCUUCUAGGGUAAGUUCUGGUAGAUCUUUAGACCUUACCUUCUGCAUGUGAUGCCAACUCGAAGCAAACACAUCUUUUGGUUCCAGGGCAACAUAAAGUAUCCAGCAGGCCGAAGAUGUAACCAACUCGAGUAAAUGCGGAUAAGGGUGCGCAUGGAGAAAACACUAGGCAAACGAAAUGUCAACCUUUGGUUCCUCAUUCUCU
This 2423-nucleotide long non-coding RNA is filed under the name Olea europaea (common olive). Its description in RNAcentral is "long non-coding RNA (OEUR_LNC001970)". Lineage: Eukaryota; Viridiplantae; Streptophyta; Magnoliopsida; Lamiales; Oleaceae. The record is from RNAcentral.